UUAAGCAGGAGAGGGCAGUGACAAAAGGGGCCAUGGAAGCUUUGGAGGGAGUUUCUAGCCAAGCUGGUGUUGGACAUGAGGAUAAUGUUGACAUUGAACAAAUUCCUAGUCCUGUAUCCAAGGGAUAUUUCAAACUUUUUCCCAGGUCUUCUCAAGAUAGAAUUGCAUAUGUUACCUUUGAUUUGUAGACAACUGAUCUAAUUCGUGGAGGAAGGAUCCCACACAUAACACAGAUUGCAGCAUCUGAUUUGACCCCUAAAUCACAGAGGGAGUUCAACUGCUAUGUGCUUCCAAAGAUUCCACAGUCACAAGAGGCCCAGAGAAUUAGUGGGAUCACUAUGUCUUCAUCCAAUGUAUUAAUGGUAAAUGGGAAGGAGGUAGAGACUGAAACUAUUGACUCAGCUCUGUCCAAGUUUCUAGAUUGGCUAAAAUUCUACAAGAAAGUCAUCCUGAUUGCUCACAUUGGCAAAAAUUUCGAUUUCCCUAUGUUCGUGACGGCACUUGCAUCUGUGGAUCGUGUAUCCGAAUUAUAUGAUGUUGUAAUAGGAUUUGUUGACAGUCUACCUUUGUUAAAAAAGGUUUUCCCUGGAGAAAGUUCGUACAAGCAAGAAAAUCUUGUCAGAAGCCUACUAGCUGCAGCAUAUGAUGCACAUAAUGCCCUUGAGGAUGUAAGAUCACUAGGCUGGCUUAUGAAGCAUGAGAAAGUAACUGAUAAAUAUCUUGCAGACUUUUCGUUUUCACCUGUAGCAGUGAAAAAUUAGUUGCCAUUUAACAGGGAGAAAACCAAAAACAUUGGAUCAUUAAAUCCAUUAAUUGCAGCCGGUGUGAUGAAGAUGACAACAGCAGAAAAUGUUGCAGGGUUUGGUUUGUGUCUUGCAAACCUUCGAAAAAUUCAUAUGCGGGAGGGUGAGGAUGGACUUCGAAAUAUUUUUAUUAGCAAAAACAGUCACGGCCAAGCUCGGGUCACUAGUUGUAAAAGAACAUUAGAUUCUGUCAUUCCAAAAUUAUGUGAAUUUUUUGACAAGUAUAACAUGUAGUAUGAAUUCAUAUUAUUAUUUGUGUCUUGUUAUGUACCAAUGCACAUCAAAGCAAAAAAAAAAAAAGGAAAAGAUGAAAAUGUAUUUGAUAUAUCACAUAUUAUGUUAUGGCUGUUAACCCUUGUGAGUAAAUUAUCUUUGGAGGUCAGGUGAUGUUAAAUGAACAGAAUAAGAACUUAAAUGUACAUUGUUAACAUGCUGAAAUAUAGUUUCCUCCUCAGUAGUAGUUGACGUUAUUUGAAAUACCAUGAUUACAAAUAUUUAAGGAUUUUAAGGGUCAAGGUCAUAUAUCUAGGUCAAAUGAUUGAAAUUU
Molecule: long non-coding RNA, 1350 nt
Organism: Saccostrea cuccullata (small rock oyster)
Lineage: Eukaryota; Metazoa; Mollusca; Bivalvia; Ostreida; Ostreidae
Exons: 3
Source: RefSeq, a predicted model, not a curated record